UGUUUCAAUUUUAUUAAUAGAAUUUUAUUUUUAAGUUAAAAAGCUUAAAUAAAGUUUAAAGACGAGAAGACCCUAUAGAGUUUUACUAAAAAUUUAAUUAUGAAUUUUAGAAAUUUUAUUUUUUAAUUUAAUUUAAGUUUUGUUGGGGUGACAAAAAAAUUAAACUAACUUUUUUUUUAUUAAUACAAUAAUAAUUGAAUUAUUGAUCCAAAAAAAUGAUUAAAAGAUUAAAUUACCUUAGGGAUAACAGCG
This 252-nucleotide ribosomal RNA is filed under the name Henosepilachna enneasticta. RNAcentral's name for it is "partial 16S ribosomal RNA". The record is from RNAcentral. Lineage: Eukaryota; Metazoa; Arthropoda; Insecta; Coleoptera; Coccinellidae.